AUUGGCAUUGCUGGGAUUGG
Molecule: unclassified non-coding RNA, 20 nt
Filed under: Mus musculus (house mouse)
Lineage: Eukaryota; Metazoa; Chordata; Mammalia; Rodentia; Muridae
Description: oocyte_clustered_small_RNA8098
Source: RNAcentral